RNAcentral lists this ribosomal RNA (544 nucleotides) under Argopecten irradians (bay scallop). Its description in RNAcentral is "partial 16S ribosomal RNA". It matches the Rfam family "Bacterial large subunit ribosomal RNA", at positions 1796 to 2620 of the family's 2925-position model. Lineage: Eukaryota; Metazoa; Mollusca; Bivalvia; Pectinida; Pectinidae. The record is from RNAcentral.
UCGCCUGUUUAUCAAAAACAUGGCUCCUUGAUAACAUAAGGAGUCGUGCCUUCCCGGUGAGUUUAAACUUAAACGGAUGCGGUAAAGCGUGCUAAGGUAGCUAAGUUAUGGCCUAGUUAAUUGUAGGCCCUGUGAAUGGUUUGACGAGUUUUCUUCUGUCUCUAGCUUGUUUAAGUGAACUUGAAUUGGAUGUGCAAAUGCUUCCUUGGUAAAGAAAGACGAGAAGACCCCGUGAAGUUAGAAAUUAAUGUGCAGAAUAGUGGGAGGCUACUUUUUCUGCCUUAUGGUUUUGGCUGGGGCAGCAAGGGGGCAAAAGUAGACCCCUUAAAAUUUAAUUCUGGUGAGUAAUGACCCAUAAGGUUUAAGGGUAUGAUUAGUAGAAGAAGUUACUCCGGGGAUAACAGCGUAAUCCGCCUUGACAGUCCUUAUAGAUGGGUGGGUUUGCGACCUCGAUGUUGGCUCUGGAUGUCCUGAAGCUGUAGGCGGUUUCAAGGGUUGGUUCGUUCGCCCAUUAAAAUCCAACGUGAUCUGAGUUCAGACCGGA